AUGGACGUGCUGCCAGGGGAGCUGUGCUUCAAGAUCUUCCACCUCCUCGAUCACCAGUCCCUCGCCGCCGCUCCCCAAGUUUGCCGGAAGUGGAACGCGUUGACCUGCGACGACGAGCUGUGGCGCAAGCUGUUCCAGGACAGGUGGGGAGCGGACGCCACGGCCUUCUACGCGCCGGAGCCGGAGGGCGCCAAGCCCUGGAAGGACGUCUUCGUCGUGCAGGACCGAUGCGACCGAUACGGCCUGGGCGUCAGGAUCAUCAGGGAGGGGAACGACUACUACCUGAUCUACCAAGGCGAGAUCCAAAGCUACCUGGGCACGAGCUGCGACGCCAAGGACGCGCAGCCGCAGGGCGCUGAAGCGGAGAAGCGGCAGAUAUCUGACCGGAUCCUCUUCUUCCUGGGGGACCUGGAGACUGCUUAUGCGGACGCCAAGCGUGUCAAGACGUGA
RNAcentral lists this ribosomal RNA (450 nucleotides) under Triticum aestivum (bread wheat). RNAcentral's name for it is "partial small subunit ribosomal RNA". Lineage: Eukaryota; Viridiplantae; Streptophyta; Magnoliopsida; Poales; Poaceae. The record is from RNAcentral.